Molecule: long non-coding RNA, 490 nt
Filed under: Homo sapiens (human)
Lineage: Eukaryota; Metazoa; Chordata; Mammalia; Primates; Hominidae
Description: non-protein coding ADAMTSL4-AS1:3
Source: RNAcentral
CCAGGCUGAGCCAUCUCUGAGGAAUGUGGCUUUGGCAGGACAUCCAGUGCUGCCCCGCUCCUCCCUCAGCCCCGCCCAGGGCCCUGGAGCCGGGCCGGGCUCCUCCUCCUCCAGGGGAAGGGCUCGGGGCAGGAAUCCCUUCCCUUUCCCCACCCCAGAAGAAGCCCCAGAGCGUAGGGAUAUGCGUACGGCAGAAAGGGAGACAGAAGGCAGGGCUAGAGAAAGGGAACAGGAAAAAAGAGCUUCGACAAGCCAACUGCCCUUCGCUCAGGCCCCAGCGGAAAGGCGCAGAUACCCGGAGACUUCCCAGAGAGACUCGACCCACCAAAAAGCGCACCGCGGCCGCGCAGCCCUUCCUUCAGCUCUGGAACCCAGCGCCCCACACCUCAAAUGGGAGAACUGGUGACCUCUAGUGGCCCAUGACCAGCCUGCAGGGCCUGGGGCUGGCGGGGAUUCUCUGACCCAAACUCUCCUGGGCUCUAAUGCUGUU